RNAcentral lists this ribosomal RNA (332 nucleotides) under uncultured bacterium. Its description in RNAcentral is "bacterial SSU rRNA". It matches the Rfam family "Bacterial small subunit ribosomal RNA", at positions 568 to 898 of the family's 1533-position model. The record is from RNAcentral.
UGUGCAGGCGGGUCGUCAAGUGGUGUAUGAAAACGCCCGGCUUAACCGGGCGAUGGUAGGCCAGACUGACGACCUAGAGGACGAGAGAGGGGCGUGGAAUUCCGGGUGUAGUGGUGAAAUGCGUAGAGAUCCGGAAGAACCCCAGAGGCGAAGGCGGCGCCCUGGCUCGUCCCUGACGCUCAGACACGACAGCAUGGGGAGCGAACGGGAUUAGAAACCCCGGUAGUCCAUGCCGUAAACGAUGCCAACUAGGCGCUGACGGUCUCAACCCCGCCGGUGCCGCAGCUAACGCGUUAAGUUGGCCGCCUGGGGAGUACGGUCGCAAGGCUAAA